GCUCCAAUAGCGUAUAUUAAAGUUGUUGCAGUUAAAAAGCUCGUAGUUGGAUUUCUGUUAAUAAUUUAUAUAAAAUAUUUUGAUGAAUAUUUAUAUAAUAUUAACAUAAUUCAUAUUACUAUUUUUUUUUUUAGUAUAUGAAAUUUUACUUUGAGAAAAUUAGAGUGCUUAAAGCAGGCAUAUGCCUUGAAUACUCCAGCAUGGAAUAAUAUUAAAGAUUUUUAUCUUUUUUAUUGGUUCUAAGAUAAGAAUAAUGAUUAAUAGGGACAGUUGGGGGCAUUUGUAUUUAACAGUCAGAGGUGAAAUUCUUAGAUUUGUUAAAGACAAACUAAUGCGAAAGCAUUUGCCAAGGAUGUUUUCAUUAAUCAAGAACGAAAGUUAGGGGAUCGAAGACGAUCAGAUACCGUCGUAGUCU
RNAcentral lists this ribosomal RNA (415 nucleotides) under Cryptosporidium hominis. RNAcentral describes it as "partial small subunit ribosomal RNA". It matches the Rfam family "Eukaryotic small subunit ribosomal RNA", at positions 588 to 1026 of the family's 1831-position model. Lineage: Eukaryota; Apicomplexa; Conoidasida; Eucoccidiorida; Cryptosporidiidae. The record is from RNAcentral.